UUGAGCCUUGAUGUGUAGGAUAGGUGGGAGGCUUUGAAGUGUGGACGCCAGUCUGCAUGGAGCCGACCUUGAAAUACCACCCUUUAAUGUUUGAUGUUCUAACGUGGACCCGUGAUCCGGGUUGCGGACAGUGUCUGGUGGGUAGUUUGACUGGGGCGGUCUCCUCCUAAAGAGUAACGGAGGAGCACGAAGGUUGGCUAAUCCUGGUCGGACAUCAGGAGGUUAGUGCAAUGGCAUAAGCCAGCUUGACUGCGAGCGUGACGGCGCGAGCAGGUGCGAAAGCAGGUCAUAGUGAUCCGGUGGUUCUGAAUGGAAGGGCCAUCGCUCAACGGAUAAAAGGUACUCCGGGGAUAACAGGCUGAUACCGCCCAAGAGUUCAUAUCGACGGCGGUGUUUGGCACCUCGAUGUCGGCUCAUCACAUCCUGGGGCUGAAGUAGGUCCCAAGGGUAUGGCUGUUCGCCAUUUAAAGUGGUACGCGAGCUGGGUUUAGAACGUCGUGAGACAGUUCGGUCCCUAUCUGCCGUGGGCGCUGGAGAACUGAGGGGGGCUGCUCCUAGUACGAGAGGACCGGAGUGGACGCAUCACUGGUGUUCGGGUUGUCAUGCCAAUGGCACUGCCCGGUAGCUAAAUGCGGAAGAGAUAAGUGCUGAAAGCAUCUAAGCACGAAACUUGCC
This 675-nucleotide ribosomal RNA is filed under the name Escherichia coli. Its description in RNAcentral is "partial 23S ribosomal RNA". It matches the Rfam family "Bacterial large subunit ribosomal RNA", at positions 2124 to 2798 of the family's 2925-position model. Lineage: Bacteria; Pseudomonadati; Pseudomonadota; Gammaproteobacteria; Enterobacterales; Enterobacteriaceae. The record is from RNAcentral.